RNAcentral lists this ribosomal RNA (1138 nucleotides) under Lactobacillus delbrueckii. RNAcentral's name for it is "bacterial SSU rRNA". It matches the Rfam family "Bacterial small subunit ribosomal RNA", at positions 76 to 1197 of the family's 1533-position model. Lineage: Bacteria; Bacillati; Bacillota; Bacilli; Lactobacillales; Lactobacillaceae. The record is from RNAcentral.
GAUCUUAGUUAGGACGCUAGCGGCGGAUGGGUGAGUAACACGUGGGCAAUCUGCCCUAAAGACUGGGAUACCACUUGGAAACAGGUGCUAAUACCGGAUAACAACAUGAAUCGCAUGAUUCAAGUUUGAAAGGCGGCGCAAGCUGUCACUUUAGGAUGAGCCCGCGGCGCAUUAGCUAGUUGGUGGGGUAAAGGCCUACCAAGGCAAUGAUGCGUAGCCAAGUUGAGAGACUGAUCGGCCACAUUGGGACUGAGACACGGCCCAAACUCCUACGGGAGGCAGCAGUAGGGAAUCUUCCACAAUGGACGCAAGUCUGAUGGAGCAACGCCGCGUGAGUGAAGAAGGUCUUCGGAUCGUAAAGCUCUGUUGUUGGUGAAGAAGGAUAGAGGCAGUAACUGGUCUUUAUUUGACGGUAAUCAACCAGAAAGUCACGGCUAACUACGUGCCAGCAGCCGCGGUAAUACGUAGGUGGCAAGCGUUGUCCGGAUUUAUUGGGCGUAAAGCGAGCGCAGGCGGAAUGAUAAGUCUGAUGUGAAAGCCCACGGCUCAACCGUGGAACUGCAUCGGAAACUGUCAUUCUUGAGUGCAGAAGAGGAGAGUGGAACUCCAUGUGUAGCGGUGGAAUGCGUAGAUAUAUGGAAGAACACCAGUGGCGAAGGCGGCUCUCUGGUCUGCAACUGACGCUGAGGCUCGAAAGCAUGGGUAGCGAACAGGAUUAGAUACCCUGGUAGUCCAUGCCGUAAACGAUGAGCGCUAGGUGUUGGGGACUUUCCGGUCCUCAGUGCCGCAGCAAACGCAUUAAGCGCUCCGCCUGGGGAGUACGACCGCAAGGUUGAAACUCAAAGGAAUUGACGGGGGCCCGCACAAGCGGUGGAGCAUGUGGUUUAAUUCGAAGCAACGCGAAGAACCUUACCAGGUCUUGACAUCCUGCGCUACACUAGAAAAUAGGUGGUUCCCUUCGGGGACGCAAAGACAGGUGGUGCAUGGCUGUCGUCACCUCCUGUCGUGAAGAAGUUUGGGGUUAAGUCCCGCAACGAGCGCAACCCUUGUCUUUAGUUGCCAUCAUUAAAUUGGGGACUCUAAAGAGAAUGGCGGUGACAACCCGAGGAAAAGGGGGGGGGGGGGAUGGUCUUUUUCA